Molecule: ribosomal RNA, 505 nt
Filed under: uncultured bacterium
Lineage: Bacteria
Description: bacterial SSU rRNA
Rfam family: Bacterial small subunit ribosomal RNA
Source: RNAcentral
CUGGCUCAGGAUGAACGCUGGCGGCGUGCUAACACAUGCAAGUCGAACGGGCUUAGAUCGGAAGCUUGCUUUGAUUAAGUUAGUGGCGGACGGGUGAGUAACGCGUGGGUAACCUGCCUCGUACAGGGGGAUAGCAGCUGGAAACGGCUGGUAAAACCGCAUAAGCGCACAACUUCGCAUGAAGGAGUGUGAAAAUAUUUAUAGGUACGAGAUGGGCCCGCGUCUGAUUAGCCAGUUGGCAGGGUAACGGCCUACCAAAGCGACGAUCAGUAGCCGGCCUGAGAGGGCGGACGGCCACAUUGGGACUGAGACACGGCCCAAACUCCUACGGGAGGCAGCAGUGGGGGAUAUUGCACAAUGGGCGAAAGCCUGAUGCAGCGACGCCGCGUUGAGUGAAGAAGUAUUUCGGUAUGUAAAGCUCUAUCAGCAGGGAAGAAAGGCCUCGAAAGAGGAGAUGACGGUACCUGAGUAAGAACGCCCCGGCUAACUACGUGCCAGCCGCCGC